RNAcentral lists this unclassified non-coding RNA (199 nucleotides) under soil metagenome. Its description in RNAcentral is "partial internal transcribed spacer 1". The record is from RNAcentral.
CCGAGUUUACAACUCCCAAACCCAAUGUGAACGUUACCAAACUGUUGCCUCGGCGGGAUCUCUGCCCCGGGUGCGUCGCAGCCCCGGGCCAAGGCGCCCGCCGGAGGACCAACCAAAACUCUUAUUGUAUACCCCCUCGCGGGUUUUUUACUAUCUGAGCCAUCUCGGCGCCCCUCGUGGGCGUUUCGAAAAUGAAUCA